RNAcentral lists this ribosomal RNA (253 nucleotides) under uncultured bacterium. RNAcentral's name for it is "partial 16S ribosomal RNA". It matches the Rfam family "Bacterial small subunit ribosomal RNA", at positions 524 to 776 of the family's 1533-position model. The record is from RNAcentral.
UACGUAGGGUGCGAGCGUUAAUCGGAAUUACUGGGCGUAAAGCGUGCGCAAGCGGUUCGUUAAGUUCGUUGUGAAAGCCCCGGGCUCAACCUGGGAACUGCAAUGGAAACUGGCGGGCUUGAGUGUGGCAGAGGGGGGUGGAAUUCCGCGUGUAGCAGUGAAAUGCGUAGAGAUGCGGAGGAACACCGAUGGCGAAGGCAGCCCCCUGGGCCAACACUGACGCUCAGGCACGAAAGCGUGGGGAGCAAACAGG